RNAcentral lists this ribosomal RNA (253 nucleotides) under uncultured bacterium. Its description in RNAcentral is "partial 16S ribosomal RNA". It matches the Rfam family "Bacterial small subunit ribosomal RNA", at positions 524 to 776 of the family's 1533-position model. The record is from RNAcentral. RNAcentral also lists the same sequence under 1 other name.
UACAGAGGGUGCAAACGUUGCUCGGAAUUAUUGGGCGUAAAGCGCACGUAGGCGGCAUCGUAAGUUCGAUGUGAAAGCCCCAAGCUCAACUUGGGAAGUGCAUUGAAUACUGCGGAGCUUGAAUCUGGAAGAGGGUCGCGGAAUUCCCGGUGUAGAGGUGAAAUUCGUAGAUAUCGGGAGGAACACCAGUGGCGAAGGCGGCGACCUGGGCCAAGAUUGACGCUGAGGUGCGAAAGCGUGGGGAGCAAACAGG